Mustela lutreola (European mink) is the source of this 1522-nucleotide long non-coding RNA. RefSeq lists it as uncharacterized. The record is from RefSeq and is a predicted model, not a curated record. Lineage: Eukaryota; Metazoa; Chordata; Mammalia; Carnivora; Mustelidae. The transcript has 2 exons.
CAUAAAAAUACAGACUCACCAGUUCCUGCUUUGAUGUGACAUGUGACUCCCCAGAAUACAUCUUGCUUCUGUAGACCAGCUCCAACAGGAUUCCAUGGUAGCUGGAAUGUUAGGGCUCAGAUGCUGCUGGAUUGAACUUCCACAUGUGCCAGUCUUUUCGAAGAACAGCUGCCUAGACUCGGAAUUGCUGAGGGUACCACCACAUCGCCUCCUAAAGUGGCUGUUGCGGUUCCCAUGACAGUAUGAGAAAGUGCCUCUUCCCACACCCUCCCAGAAUUGGAUGCCCAUCUUUUAAAUCUGUGCUCCUUGGGUUGUUACUGGGGCCGGACCUCAGUAAUCAUCAGCCAUUUGUAUUUGGUGUUUGGGAGUUGCUUGCCUGUUGGUGUUCUGCCUUCGUUCCUCCGUCAGGAUAUUUGUUUUUCAGUUGAUCUGUAAGAACUUGUAAUGUGUCCAGGAUACUCUCUGUCAUUACACAGAUACUCCUACCUUGUCAUAUAUCUUUUGAUUCUGCUUGUCUUUUUUGAUAUACAAAAUUUCUGUUAGGAUUUUUUCUUUCGCUUUUAUACUUAGAAAAAGUCCUUUCCUACCUUAAGAACAUGUCAGUAUCCAUCCGUAUAUUUUUCUUCCUAUAAAAAGAUUGAUGUACUAUAUUGAUACAUACAAAAGAAUUAUAGGUAAGUUUUCCUGUUUUUCAUAUGGUUAUAAAAAUGCCUCUUUCGUGUGUAGCUUUGGGUCGGGAUGAGAUCUAGAGCCCACUUAGCUGGUUGUGUCAUAGCUGUUAGGUGGGGCAGUCGCCUCGUCUCUACCUUUAGUGAAGUCUUCACUUUGAGACUUGAGUUCGAGUGAGCAAAGUGUCUCUUACUUUUUUCUUUCUGAAGUUUUUCUUUGUGAGACUUGAUGGCUAGCUGGUCAGCAUAUAAUCAUCUGUUCAUUCCCCCAACAAGUCCUGGAGCCCCUGAUUCAAGGCAGAGGCAGUCUGGGGCCCUGCAAGUGCCGCUUUCUCCUUGGCUUGGGCGGGGCCAAAGAGGCUGCAGUACCAGUGGCUACGGCUCCAGUGCUCAUUCCAGAAGACUCGAGAAAAUAGUGGAUCUUCACAAAGUAGGUUUGGGAUAAACUAGGAGGAAUCCAGAGUGUGUGUGUGUAUGUGCGUGCAUAUAUGCGUGCGUGCGUGUGUGUGUUUUAGAUUCUGACCCAGAAGUGAGAGCUUAGGGUAGACUGCAACAUAAGCGCCGUUUGUUUCCUAACUCGUGUCAUUGCAGGCUGAUUUUUGUCUUGAAUUAUGAUGAGGGCUUUUUGCUGGUGAAACAGUUCUAUAUUCAGCUAGCUUGGUUGUGAUGGAAUAAAAGUUGUGUACUGAUAAAAAUGGUAAUUUUCUUCUAUGAUGAUUUUGAAGCAUUUCUGUAAUAGCUCAUAAAAAUAAAGGCAGGCUUUUGGUGAAUAUAUUCUUAGGGAAAAAGUAAUUUUUUGCAGCUUGCAUCGUUUAAAUCUAAUAAAUAACCUUAAAACUGAAGUGGAAUCCUGA